AUUGAACGCUGGCGGUAUGCUUUACACAUGCAAGUCGAACGGCAGCACGGACUUCGGUCUGGUGGCGAGUGGCGAACGGGUGAGUAAUGUAUCGGAACGUGCCCAGUAGUGGGGGAUAACUACUCGAAAGAGUGGCUAAUACCGCAUGAGAUCUCUGGAUGAAAGCGGGGGACCGUAAGGCCUCGCGCUACUGGAGCGGCCGAUAUCAGAUUAGGUAGUUGGUAGGGUAAAGGCCUACCAAGCCUGCGAUCUGUAGCUGGUCUGAGAGGACGACCAGCCACACUGGGACUGAGACACGGCCCAGACUCCUACGGGAGGCAGCAGUGGGGAAUUUUGGACAAUGGACGCAAGUCUGAUCCAGCAAUACCGCGUGCAGGACGAAGGCCUUCGGGUUGUAAACUGCCUUUGUACGGAACGAAAGACCUUCUUCUAAUACAGGGAGGUCAUGACGGUACCGUAAGAAUAAGCACCGGCUAACUACGUAGCCAGCAGCCGCGGUAAAC
This 503-nucleotide ribosomal RNA is filed under the name uncultured bacterium. RNAcentral describes it as "bacterial SSU rRNA". It matches the Rfam family "Bacterial small subunit ribosomal RNA", at positions 30 to 525 of the family's 1533-position model. The record is from RNAcentral.